GGAAGAGUGACGUGACCCGGUGGUCCGACUGGACUUCAAAUCCAGGUGGGGUUGCCAGCAAUCCCGGGUGGGUUCGACUCCCAUACUCUUCCGCCA
RNAcentral lists this transfer RNA (96 nucleotides) under Burkholderiales bacterium. RNAcentral's name for it is "tRNA-Sec". It matches the Rfam family "Selenocysteine transfer RNA". Lineage: Bacteria; Pseudomonadati; Pseudomonadota; Betaproteobacteria; Burkholderiales. The record is from RNAcentral. RNAcentral also lists the same sequence under 2 other names.